AGAGUUUGAUCCUGGCUCAGAAUCAACGCUGGCGGCGUGCCUAACACAUGCAAGUCGAACGCGGUUAUUCAGCUAUGGGUAACCGAGUGGCGAACGGGUGAGUAACACGUGGGUGACCUACCUUCGAGUGGGGGAUAACGUCCCGAAAGGGACGCUAAUACCGCAUAACAUCCUGCCUUUGAACAGGCGGUGAUCAAAGCCGGGGACCGUAAGGCCCGGCGCUUGAUGAGGGGCUCGCGUCUGAUUAGCUAGUUGGUGAGGUAACGGCCCACCAAGGCGACGAUCAGUAUCCGGCCUGAGUGGGCGGACGGACACACUGGGACUGAGACACGGCCCAGACUCCUACGGGAGGCAGCAGUGGGGAAUUGUUCACAAUGGGCGCAAGCCUGAUGACGCAACGCCGCGUGGAGGAUGAAGGUCUUCGGAUUGUAAACUCCUGUUGCUCGGGACGAAAAGCCUUGACCUAAUACGUCGAGGUCUGACGGUACCGAGUGAGGAAGCCCCGGCUAACUCUGUGCCAGCCGCCGCGGUAAUAC
Molecule: ribosomal RNA, 536 nt
Filed under: uncultured Acidobacteriota bacterium
Lineage: Bacteria; Pseudomonadati; Acidobacteriota
Description: bacterial SSU rRNA
Rfam family: Bacterial small subunit ribosomal RNA
Source: RNAcentral